This 469-nucleotide ribosomal RNA is filed under the name uncultured bacterium. RNAcentral's name for it is "bacterial SSU rRNA". It matches the Rfam family "Bacterial small subunit ribosomal RNA", at positions 329 to 794 of the family's 1533-position model. The record is from RNAcentral.
CGCCAGACUCCUACGGGAGGCAGCAGUGAGGAAUAUUGGUCAAUGGGCCUACGCCUGAACCAGCCAAGUCGCGUGAGGGAAGACUGCCCUAUGGGUUGUAAACCUCUUUUGUCAGGGAGCAAUUGGCGCCACGUGUAGCGUUAUCGAGAGUACCUGAAGAAAAAGCAUCGGCUAACUCCGUGCCAGCAGCCGCGGUAAUACGGAGGAUGCGAGCGUUAUCCGGAUUUAUUGGGUUUAAAGGGAGCGUAGGUGGAUUGUUAAGUCAGUUGUGAAAGUUUGCGGCUCAACCGUAAAAUUGCAGUUGAAACUGGCAGUCUUGAGUACAGUAGAGGUGGGCGGAAUUCGUGGUGUAGCGGUGAAAUGCUUAGAUAUCACGAAGAACUCCGAUUGCGAAGGCAGCUCACUGGACUGCAACUGACACUGAGGCUCGAAAGUGUGGGUAUCAAACAGGAUUAGAUACCCGAGUACA